UACUCCUACGGGAGGCAGCAGUAGGGAAUCUUCCGCAAUGGGCGAAAGCCUGACGGAGCAACGCCGCGUGAGUGAUGAAGGGUUUCGGCUCGUAAAACUCUGUUAUUAGGGAAGAACAUAUGUGUAGAGUAACUGUGCACAUCUUGACGGUACCUAAUCAGAAAGCCACGGCUAACUACGUGCCAGCAGCCGCGGUAAU
RNAcentral lists this ribosomal RNA (199 nucleotides) under uncultured Staphylococcus sp. Its description in RNAcentral is "partial 16S ribosomal RNA". It matches the Rfam family "Bacterial small subunit ribosomal RNA", at positions 334 to 524 of the family's 1533-position model. The record is from RNAcentral. Lineage: Bacteria; Bacillati; Bacillota; Bacilli; Caryophanales; Staphylococcaceae.